Molecule: ribosomal RNA, 301 nt
Filed under: uncultured bacterium
Lineage: Bacteria
Description: partial 16S ribosomal RNA
Rfam family: Bacterial small subunit ribosomal RNA
Source: RNAcentral
CAGCCGCCGCGGUAAUACGGAGGGUGCAAGCGUUGAUCGGAAUUACUGGGCGUAAAGCGUGCGUAGGCGGUUCGUUAAGUCUGUUGUGAAAGCCCCGGGCUCAACCUGGGAAUGGCAAUGGAUACUGGCGAGCUAGAGUGUGUCAGAGGAUGGUGGAAUUCCCGGUGUAGCGGUGAAAUGCGUAGAGAUCGGGAGGAACAUCAGUGGCGAAGGCGGCCAUCUGGGACAACACUGACGCUGAGGCACGAAAGCGUGGGGAGCAAACAGGAUUAGAGACCCCUGUAGUCCCUGUCUCUUAUAC